GCUACAGUCCAUGGGGUCACAAAGAGUCAGACACAACUGAAGCAACUUAGCAUGCCUGCAUGCCAGUCCUUCAGAAGUGGGCAGGCUUGUCUCUAAUCCCAAUGCCUCACAUUGAGAAAGCACUAGGCCACUCCAGAAUUUCUUCUCACAGUCCUAUUGAUCAGGAGAAAUGUGGAGCAGAUGCAGACACAGGGAGAACUCUUUGUGAAGAUGAAGGCAGAGAUCAGGGUGAGGUUUCUACACACCAAGGAACUCCAGUGAUCACCAGCAGACCACCAGAAGCUGAGGAAGAGACGUGGGAGCAAUCUUCUCUGCACAGCCAGAAGGAACCAACCUUGCUGAUACCUUGGUCUUAGACAUCUGGCCUCCAG
Long non-coding RNA from Bos taurus (domestic cattle), 371 nucleotides. NCBI's taxonomy places the organism in Eukaryota, Metazoa, Chordata, Mammalia, Artiodactyla, Bovidae. The record is from Ensembl.